This 253-nucleotide ribosomal RNA is filed under the name uncultured bacterium. Its description in RNAcentral is "partial 16S ribosomal RNA". It matches the Rfam family "Bacterial small subunit ribosomal RNA", at positions 524 to 776 of the family's 1533-position model. The record is from RNAcentral.
UACGGGGGGGGCAAGCGUUGUUCGGAAUUACUGGGCGUAAAGGGCGCGUAGGCGGCCCUCCAAGUCGGGCGUGAAAGCCCACGGCUCAACCGUGGAAUUGCGCUCGAGACUGAAGGGCUCGAGGACGGGAGAGGAUGGUGGAAUUCCCAGUGUAGAGGUGAAAUUCGUAGAUAUUAGGAAGAACACCAGUGGCGAAGGCGGCUCACUGGCCCGGUACUGACGCUGAGGCGCGAAAGCGUGGGGAGCAAACAGG